This 591-nucleotide ribosomal RNA is filed under the name uncultured Alphaproteobacteria bacterium. RNAcentral's name for it is "bacterial SSU rRNA". It matches the Rfam family "Bacterial small subunit ribosomal RNA", at positions 8 to 646 of the family's 1533-position model. Lineage: Bacteria; Pseudomonadati; Pseudomonadota; Alphaproteobacteria. The record is from RNAcentral.
AGAGUUUGAUCUGGCUCAGGACGAACGCUGGCGGCAGGCUUAAUACAUGCAAGUCGAGCGCCCCGCUUGCGGGGAGCGGCAGACGGGUGAGUAACGCGUGGGAACGUGCCCUUCGGUACGGAAUAGCCCUGGGAAACUGGGUGUAAUACCGUAUACGACCUCCGGGUGAAAGAUUUAUCGCCGAAGGAUCGGCCCGCGUUAGAUUAGGUAGUUGGUGGGGUAAAGGCCUACCAAGCCUACGAUCUAUAGCUGUUCUGAGAGGAAGAUCAGCCACACUGGGACUGAGACACGGCCCAGACUCCUACGGGAGGCAGCAGUAGGGAAUAUUGGACAAUGGGGGAAACCCUGAUCCAGCCAUGCCGCGUGAGUGAAGAAGGCCUUAGGGUUGUAAAACUCUUUCACCGCUGAAGAUAAUGACGGUAAGCGGAGAAGAAGCCCCGGCUAAUUUCGUGCCAGCAGCCGCGGUAAUACGAAAGGGGCUAGCGUUGUUCGGAAUUACUGGGCGUAAAGCGCACGUAGGCGGCCUGCCAAGUUAGAGGUGAAAGCCCGGAGCUCAACUCCGGAAUUGCCUUUAAAACUGGUAAGCUAGAG